RNAcentral lists this ribosomal RNA (497 nucleotides) under uncultured bacterium. Its description in RNAcentral is "partial 16S ribosomal RNA". It matches the Rfam family "Bacterial small subunit ribosomal RNA", at positions 28 to 507 of the family's 1533-position model. The record is from RNAcentral.
GAUGAACGCUGGCGGCGUGCCUAAUACAUGCAAGUCGAGCGAACGGACGAGAAGCUUGCUUCUCUGAUGUUAGCGGCGGACGGGUGAGUAACACGUGGAUAACCUACCUAUAAGACUGGGAUAACUUCGGGAAACCGGAGCUAAUACCAGAUAAUAUUUUGAACCGCAUGGUUCAAAAGUGAAAGACGGUCUUGCUGUCACUUAUAGAUGGAUCCGCGCUGCAUUAGCUAGUUGGUAAGGUAACGGCUUACCAAGGCAACGAUGCAUAGCCGACCUGAGAGGGUGAUCGGCCACACUGGAACUGAGACACGAUCCAGACUCCUACGGGAGGCAGCAGUAGGGAAUCUUCCGCAAUGGGCGAAAGCCUGACGGAGCAACGCCGCGUGAGUGAUGAAGGUCUUCGGAUCGUAAAACUCUGUUAUUAGGGAAGAACAUAUGUGUAAGUAACUGUGCACAUCUUGACGGUACCUAAUCAGAAAGCCACGGCUAACUACGUG